UGACCACCCUUUGGGUUAAGGCCAUACGGACAGCCGGGUCAACUGCCGA
Blautia sp. An46 is the source of this 49-nucleotide small RNA. It matches the Rfam family "Streptococcus sRNA SpF59 (ldcC RNA)". NCBI's taxonomy places the organism in Bacteria, Bacillati, Bacillota, Clostridia, Lachnospirales, Lachnospiraceae. The record is from Rfam.